AGAGAUUUAAGUUAUAAAACUAAUAGCCUUCAAAGCUUUAAUUGAUUGUCAUAGAAUCAAUCUCUA
Molecule: transfer RNA, 66 nt
Filed under: Venustaconcha ellipsiformis
Lineage: Eukaryota; Metazoa; Mollusca; Bivalvia; Unionida; Unionidae
Description: tRNA-Trp
Source: RNAcentral